This 253-nucleotide ribosomal RNA is filed under the name uncultured bacterium. RNAcentral describes it as "partial 16S ribosomal RNA". It matches the Rfam family "Bacterial small subunit ribosomal RNA", at positions 524 to 776 of the family's 1533-position model. The record is from RNAcentral.
GACAGAGGGUGCAAACGUUGCUCGGAAUCACUGGGCGUAAAGGGCGUGUAGGCGGGAAGGAAAGUCAGAUGUGAAAUCCCUGGGCUCAACCCAGGAACUGCAUUUGAAACUCCCUUUCUUGAGUGUCGGAGAGGAAAGCGGAAUUCCAGGUGUAGCGGUGAGAUGCGUAGAGAUCUGGAGGAACACCGAUGGCGAAGGCAGCCUUCUGGGCCAACACUGACGCUCAUGCACGAAAGCGUGGGGAGCAAACAGG